Molecule: long non-coding RNA, 876 nt
Organism: Ricinus communis (castor bean)
Lineage: Eukaryota; Viridiplantae; Streptophyta; Magnoliopsida; Malpighiales; Euphorbiaceae
Exons: 2
Source: RefSeq, a predicted model, not a curated record
GAGAAGAAAGGAUCGGGGAAGGAGGAAGGAAGGGGAAGAAGUGGCAGUGUCGUCCAGCCAGUGGUGGCGGGCUUCGGAGGCGCCGCGAAGCCGGCCGAAGGUGCAGCUGGCGUCGGCGAGCACGCUAGCGGCGGCGGCGAUAGUGAACGGCGAUGGCAGGCAUGGAAAUGGGAAAGGUAGCCGCCUUGCCGCCGUUCAUAGUGUUUCUAGUAACCGUUGUCGAUGGUUUUGAGCCCCAAAUGAUUAGCGACUCUAGGCUUUCUUUUCCGACCAUCACCACCCCUUGAGGCUGCCGGAAUUGCAAGAUCCGACAAGGUGAAAAGAGUUGGGGCAGCCGGCUUUCUAGCUUUUCCUGCGAGCUCCGGCGAGGGAUGGAUGAGCGGAUGCCAUAUCCGGACUCUCUUCAGCUCAAGCUUUCCAAUGGCACCGGUUUUGUGGCGAUCAGACUCUGUUUGAAAAUCAACGGCCGAGAUUGUCCAUAAAUCUCUCCAGAUGAUCGGAGUUCGGAUCGGUAGAUCGGAAGCGGAGAAUGUCAUCAUCAUGUUGUUUUGAGUCCGUUGUUGCGUUCGGAUCGUCGAUCGGACUCUAGCGGCUGGAGGCGAGUCGAUCGAGCGAUCAAGCAUCUCGGUGAUUGUUAGUCUUUCUACAGUUCUUAUCUAGUAACCCGACUCCUUCAUCAUCAGGUUGAUGUAUUUGAUUUUGGUAUGUUUGACUUGUAAAAUUUAGAUUCUCUGCAGUAGAAAUUUUUAGAUUUAUUAGUUCGUAAUUUUAUAUAAGUUUAAGUCUCGCCUAACUAUGCUGGCGGACCAAAUUUAAUUUAUAGUACCCAUUAAUUUAAGAUUAAUUAUGAAAAUAGUGCUUUGGAUUGAGUUCAAA